This is a long non-coding RNA of Cyprinus carpio (common carp), 484 nucleotides long. RefSeq lists it as uncharacterized. The transcript has 2 exons. The record is from RefSeq and is a predicted model, not a curated record. Lineage: Eukaryota; Metazoa; Chordata; Actinopteri; Cypriniformes; Cyprinidae.
CCUUUUCAUCCAAAGUUUGUUACAUAAAGUAUCGAGAGCCUUCCAGUGUUGGUGUGGCACAACAUUUAACCAACACUGUUUUUAUUGACAGAGCUUUGAUUGUUGUGCCCUGCGCUGAAGAUGACUAGAGUGACCCAGGCUACACUACUACACUAGCCUGACUCAAGGCUUUGUUUUCCAAGCCACUAUACCCGCCGGGGCCCACGCUGCCUUCAAGGGGGGAAUGUGACCAGCUGAACCUUCCGAGAUGGACACCUUGUCUCUUUUUAUUUUCUUUUAUUUUCAUUUCCUUUUUUUUUUAUUUCUCUCACGUUGUCCCUUUUUUGCCUCUUAGAAGAGUUGCAUAUUCAUUGUAUUGUUUUUCUUUUUUUGUUUUCCUGUCCCCUUGUCCCUCGUCCCCAAUCCCACAGUUGCACCCCUUUGCCUGUCUUUGAAUGCUGUCCAGGUUGACUUGCCGCACAGUAUUGGAGGGAAGUUUGAACGG